UUGAACGCUGGCGGUAGGCCUAACACAUGCAAGUCGAACGGCAGCACAGAGGAGCUUGCUCCUUGGGUGGCGAGUGGCGGACGGGUGAGGAAUACAUCGGAAUCUACUCUUUCGUGGGGGAUAACGUAGGGAAACUUACGCUAAUACCGCAUACGACCUUCGGGUGAAAGCAGGGGAUCGCAAGACCUUGCGCGAUUGAAUGAGCCGAUGUCGGAUUAGCUAGUUGGCGGGGUAAAGGCCCACCAAGGCGACGAUCCGUAGCUGGUCUGAGAGGAUGAUCAGCCACACUGGAACUGAGACACGGUCCAGACUCCUACGGGAGGCAGCAGUGGGGAAUAUUGGACAAUGGGCGCAAGCCUGAUCCAGCCAUACCGCGUGGGUGAAGAAGGCCUUCGGGUUGUAAAGCCCUUUUGUUGGGAAAGAAAAGCACACGGUUAAUACCCGAGUGUUCUGACGGUACCCAAAGAAUAAGCACCGGCUAACUUCGUGCCAGCCGCCGCCGUAA
Molecule: ribosomal RNA, 505 nt
Filed under: uncultured bacterium
Lineage: Bacteria
Description: partial 16S ribosomal RNA
Rfam family: Bacterial small subunit ribosomal RNA
Source: RNAcentral